This is a non-coding RNA of Podarcis lilfordi (Lilford's wall lizard), 80 nucleotides long. NCBI's taxonomy places the organism in Eukaryota, Metazoa, Chordata, Lepidosauria, Squamata, Lacertidae. The record is from the annotation of a GenBank genome assembly.
GCCUAUCAAUUUCAAUAGCUCAGUUGGUAGAGCAUGAGACUUAAUCUCAAGGGUUGCGGGUUCGAGAUCCGAGUUGGGCA